CCCUUAGAUGUUCUGGGCCGCACGCGCGCUACAAUGGCAGACUCAGCGAGUUACCUCUGUCGAAAGGCACAGGGAAUCUUUACAGUAUCUGCCGUGAUGGGGAUAGACCCUUGUAAUUUUUGGUCUCCAACGAGGAAUUCCUAGUAAACGCAAGUCAUUAACUUGCAUUGAUUACGUCCCUGCCCUUUGUACACACCGCCCGUCGCACCUACCGAUUGAAUGGUCCGGUGAAGUCCUCGGACCCAGUUGAACCUCGAGUUGAACAGGGAAAGUUGACUAAAUCUUACCAUUUAGAGGAAGGUGAAGUCGUAACA
Molecule: ribosomal RNA, 314 nt
Filed under: uncultured eukaryote
Lineage: Eukaryota
Description: partial 18S ribosomal RNA
Rfam family: Eukaryotic small subunit ribosomal RNA
Source: RNAcentral